RNAcentral lists this ribosomal RNA (253 nucleotides) under uncultured bacterium. RNAcentral's name for it is "partial 16S ribosomal RNA". It matches the Rfam family "Bacterial small subunit ribosomal RNA", at positions 524 to 776 of the family's 1533-position model. The record is from RNAcentral.
UACAGAGGGUGCAAGCGUUAAUCGGAAUUACUGGGCGUAAAGCGUGCGUAGUCGGCUUUUCAAGUCGGGUGUGAAAGCCCCGGGCUCAACCUGGGAAUUGCAUUCGAUACUGGAUAGCUAGAGUUCGGCAGAGGGAAGUGGAAUUUCAGGUGUAGCGGUGAAAUGCGUAGAUAUCUGAAGGAACAUCAGUGGCGAAAGCGACUUCCUGGACCAGAACUGACGAUCAGGCACGAAAGCGUGGGGAGCAAACAGG